GACAGAGGUGCCAAGCGUUAGGCGGAAUCACUGGGCGUAAAGGGUGCGUAGGCGGGUCUUUAAGUCAGGGGUGAAAUCCUGGAGCUCAACUCCAGAACUGCCUUUGAUACUGAGGAUCUUGAGUUCGGGAGAGGUGAGUGGAACUGCGAGUGUAGAGGUGAAAUUCGUAGAUAUUCGGAAGAACACCAGUGGCGAAGGCGACUCACUGGCCCGAUACUGACGCUGAGGCGCGAAAGCGUGGGGAGCAAACAGG
RNAcentral lists this ribosomal RNA (253 nucleotides) under uncultured bacterium. Its description in RNAcentral is "partial 16S ribosomal RNA". It matches the Rfam family "Bacterial small subunit ribosomal RNA", at positions 524 to 776 of the family's 1533-position model. The record is from RNAcentral.